GACGAACGCUGGCGGUGUGCUUAACACAUGCCAGUCGAACGGUAAGGCCCUUUCGGGGGUACACGAGUGGCGAACGGGUGAGUAACACGUGAGUAACCUGCCCUCAUCUCUGGGAUAACAGUCGGAAACGGUUGCUAAUACUGGAUAUGAGCUUGCAAGGCAUCUUGUGGGUUGGAAAGAUUUUUUUUGGUUGGGGAUGGACUCGCGGCCUAUCAGCUUGUUGGUGAGGUAGUGGCUCACCAAGGCUUCGACGGGUAGCCGGCCUGAGAGGGCGACCGGCCACAUUGGGACUGGGAUACGGCCCAAACUCCUACGGGAGGCAGCAGUGGGGAAUAUUGCACAAUGGACGGAAGUCUGAUGCAGCAACGCCGCGUGCGGGAUGACGGCCUUCGGGUUGUAAACCGCUUUCAAUUGUGACGAAGCUUUUUUGUGACGGUAGCAGUAGAAGAAGCACCGGCUAACUACGUG
This 468-nucleotide ribosomal RNA is filed under the name uncultured bacterium. Its description in RNAcentral is "partial 16S ribosomal RNA". It matches the Rfam family "Bacterial small subunit ribosomal RNA", at positions 28 to 507 of the family's 1533-position model. The record is from RNAcentral.